GAAGUGCGAUAAGCAAUGCGAAUUGCAGAAUUCCGCGAAUCAUCAGAUCUUUGAACGCAAAUGGCGCCAGAGGGAUAUCCUUCCGGCAUGUCUGUUUCAGUGUCUGAGAGGUUUCAUAAUAAUCUUAAUGUGAUUGAAUUCAGUUUUUGUGUGAUGAUAUUAUUAUUUCACAGAGCUGCUCUUUUCUCUCAUGAAAGAUGCGCAAGGGGAUCUUUCGGUCCAAUGAAGUGGUCACAUCACUCGAAUGUGAUUUCAUUGGAAGCACCGAAUUAUCAUUUUAAACUACUUGCGGUAUCAUAAAACCAAUUAUUAUUGUAGUUAGAUGUGUUAUAGCAUCCCAACAACAAUAAUAAUAUUCUCUAUACCCUGCAUCUGAGAUAGGCAAGAUCACCCGCUGAACUUAAGC
Molecule: unclassified non-coding RNA, 406 nt
Filed under: plant metagenome
Description: partial contains 5.8S ribosomal RNA, internal transcribed spacer 2, and large subunit ribosomal RNA
Rfam family: 5.8S ribosomal RNA (bases 1-105)
Source: RNAcentral